GCCGCACCGGGACUGAGACACGGCCCGGACUCCUACGGGAGGCAGCAGUGGGGAAUAUUGGACAAUGGGGGAAACCCUGAUCCAGCCAUGCCGCGUGUGUGAAGAAGGCCUUUUGGUUGUAAAGCACUUUAAGCAGUGAAGAAGACUCUUCGGUUAAUACCCGGAGACGAUGACAUUAGCUGCAGAAUAAGCACCGGCUA
Molecule: ribosomal RNA, 200 nt
Filed under: uncultured Psychrobacter sp.
Lineage: Bacteria; Pseudomonadati; Pseudomonadota; Gammaproteobacteria; Moraxellales; Moraxellaceae
Description: partial 16S ribosomal RNA
Rfam family: Bacterial small subunit ribosomal RNA
Source: RNAcentral